AGAAGUCUGAAUCAGCAUUAUGAUUCUUUCACAAAUAACCAACAUAUAGAAAUGUAAUAAGAACUUAUCUAAACGUUGAGCUUUUCGUUUCGCAGAGCAUGGUUUUGUUGUUAAAGUUUGAUUAAUUUUACGAUGUUACUUGUGGAGUAAACAAAAUUUACCUUUCGUAAUUCUCUAUGUACUUAUUGCAUUAUUAGAUACAAUCAGUAGAAAACGAUCACAUAUCCAGGUUUAUGACCGUAUCCUUCUUCCAGUUGUGGCGUUUGAAAAAAGUUUGUUACCGUUACCAUCUUCUCAUAUCGUCAUCAAUGCUCAUGAAAAUAUAAACCAUUUAAAACAAAUAGAAUUUAUGAAACUAGAAAUAAGUUAGAACAAAACUUACAUUUGAUAACCAUAAUAAUUUUAAAUUUCCGUGAGGAGCCUACAUACGCCCUCCAGUAUCCGGAGGGCAUAUUUCGCUAUUGAGAGGUUUCCGGGGGUUACUCAUUUGGUAAUAUUUUACGUUGUUUUUAAUGGUUAAUGUCCCGCCGUUCUCCGUGGUCUUUUAUAUGGGGCAGCUACAUAUGCCCUCCGGUAUCCGGAGAGUACAUUUCGCUAUACAGAGGUUGUUGCUUCCUGGGUAAUAUUUACA
Agrilus planipennis (emerald ash borer) is the source of this 631-nucleotide long non-coding RNA. RefSeq lists it as uncharacterized. The transcript is spliced from 3 exons. NCBI's taxonomy places the organism in Eukaryota, Metazoa, Arthropoda, Insecta, Coleoptera, Buprestidae. The record is from RefSeq and is a predicted model, not a curated record.